This is a non-coding RNA of Bemisia tabaci, 1065 nucleotides long. The record is from RefSeq and is a predicted model, not a curated record. NCBI's taxonomy places the organism in Eukaryota, Metazoa, Arthropoda, Insecta, Hemiptera, Aleyrodidae.
AAAAUUUUCAUAAGUUUACCAGGAUAUUUGCGUUUUAUCCAAGGAAAUUUGGCAACGCCUGAAGGCUCAUACGGCGUUUUUCCUUAGCAUGGCAGAAUAGGGAGUAAGGUUUAGGGGGUGAGGCAUCUACAUCAGCCCCACCACUCCACUUCCUCCUUGGAGAAUUUCCCGGCUACGCCAACCGGUGGCGUUCACCCUGCAGUGGCGAAUAGCGUAUCGGGCAUUGCGAUAAAUCGAUCAAUCUGCCAUUUAAACAAAUGGUAAAGGAUCGGCUAUGAGGGUGUUCGGAACGAACACCGUAAUAAUCGAUUUUCACUAUAGUUUUAAAUGGAAGAAUGUCGUAAGUAGAUAAUUUACGCAUCGCCCCUGCUUCGACCCACCCUUUUGGGAGACCCUCGGUGUUUCUGUGAUGCUGCCUCUAGCGUUAUUUAUUAAAUAAUGACCGGUUCUAAACUGUACGAAUUGUCGCGUUUUAAAAGAUGAAAUGUUUAAGCUCAGGUAUUACUCUCAUUGGCGGGCCGAAAUCGUCGCACUGUGUGCGGGCAGAGACGAAACAGUCAGUGGGAGUAAUUAGGUAAGACGCUACUCUGCGGGAAAAUCAAGGCCAAAAAUCUCAAAAGUCAGCUCUCAAGUCACCGAAUGAAGUCUGUUGAGUAUCCGCGCAAGUCUAAGGCGGGAGAAUUUUAUUUUUAUAUGGUUCGUUGAAAAAACUUAAAUUUUCUUAUAUUCAGUAAUUCAUAUGUACCUAUUUGAAUCACAACUUGAAAAUGAAAUUUUGAAAUUAACCUAAAAUUCUAACAAGUAAAGCCCAUAGUAAAAGUAUUAAUAAGUAUUAACGAUUUUACAGCUGAUUGGCCUUGAUUCACCCGUAAAAUAAAGUGAACCCAGCUCUAUUUCACCAUCCUGUUACUUACAGUAUUUGGGCCACAUUCUUAGCGUUUGAAUCAUAUAAUUAGGUAAGUAAAUAUCCUUAGGAUAUAAAUCAUCGAAAUAAAUCGGAUUAGAAUCGGUUUUCUCUUCUAAAUUGAGGUAGCAUUCCAGGCACAUUGAGACAACCACCCAAAA